AAGCUAUUUAGGUAGCGCCUCGUGAACUCAUCUCCGGGGGUAGAGCACUGUUUCGGCUAGGGGGCCAUCCCGGCUUACCAACCCGAUGCAAACUGCGAAUACCGGAGAAUGUUAUCACGGGAGACACACGGCGGGUGCUAACGUCCGUCGUGAAGAGGGAAACAACCCAGACCGCCAGCUAAGGUCCCAAAGUCAUGGUUAAGUGGGAAACGAUGUGGGAAGGCCCAGACAGCCAGGAUGUUGGCUUAGAAGCAGCCAUCAUUUAAAGAAAGCGUAAUAGCUCACUGGUCGAGUCGGCCUGCGCGGAAGAUGUAACGGGGCUAAACCAUGCACCGAAGCUGCGGCAGCGACACUAUGUGUUGUUGGGUAGGGGAGCGUUCUGUAAGCCUGCGAAGGUGGCCUGUGAGGGUUGCUGGAGGUAUCAGAAGUGCGAAUGCUGACAUAAGUAACGAUAAAGCGGGUGAAAAGCCCGCUCGCCGGAAGACCAAGGGUUCCUGUCCAACGUUAAUCGGGGCAGGGUGAGUCGACCCCUAAGGCGAGGCCGAAAGGCGUAGUCGAUGGGAAACGGGUUAAUAUUCCCGUACUUGGUGUUACUGCGAAGGGGGGACGGAGAAGGCUAUGUUGGCCGGGCGACGGUUGUCCCGGUUUAAGCGUGUAGGUGUGUGUUCCAGGUAAAUCCGGUUCACUUUAACACUGAGGCGUGACGACGAGGCACUACGGUGCUGAAGCAACAAAUGCCCUGCUUCCAGGAAAAGCCUCUAAGCAUCAGGUAACAUCAAAUCGUACCCCAAACCGACACAGGUGGUCAGGUAGAGAAUACCAAGGCGCUUGAGAGAACUCGGGUGAAGGAACUAGGCAAAAUGGUGCCGUAACUUCGGGAGAAGGCACGCUGACACGUAGGUGAAGUGAUUUACUCACGGAGCUGAAGUCAGUCGAAGAUACCAGCUGGCUGCAACUGUUUAUUAAAAACACAGCACUGUGCAAACACGAAAGUGGACGUAUACGGUGUGACGCCUGCCCGGUGCCGGAAGGUUAAUUGAUGGGGUCAGCGCAAGCGAAGCUCCUGAUCGAAGCCCCGGUAAACGGCGGCCGUAACUAUAACGGUCCUAAGGUAGCGAAAUUCCUUGUCGGGUAAGUUCCGACCUGCACGAAUGGCGUAAUGAUGGCCAGGCUGUCUCCACCCGAGACUCAGUGAAAUUGAACUCGCUGUGAAGAUGCAGUGUACCCGCGGCAAGACGGAAAGACCCCGUGAACCUUUACUAUAGCUUGACACUGAACAUUGAGCCUUGAUGUGUAGGAUAGGUGGGAGGCUUUGAAGCGUGGACGCCAGUCUGCGUGGAGCCGACCUUGAAAUACCACCCUUUAAUGUUUGAUGUUCUAACGUGGACCCGUGAUCCGGGUUGCGGACAGUGUCUGGUGGGUAGUUUGACUGGGGCGGUCUCCUCCUAAAGAGUAACGGAGGAGCACGAAGGUUGGCUAAUCCUGGUCGGACAUCAGGAGGUUAGUGCAAUGGCAUAAGCCAGCUUGACUGCGAGCGUGACGGCGCGAGCAGGUGCGAAAGCAGGUCAUAGUGAUCCGGUGGUUCUGAAUGGAAGGGCCAUCGCUCAACGGAUAAAAGGUACUCCGGGGAUAACAGGCUGAUACCGCCCAAGAGUUCAUAUCGACGGCGGUGUUUGGCACCUCGAUGUCGGCUCAUCACAUCCUGGGGCUGAAGUAGGUCCCAAGGGUAUGGCUGUUCGCCAUUUAAAGUGGUACGCGAGCUGGGUUUAGAACGUCGUGAGACAGUUCGGUCCCUAUCUGCCGUGGGCGCUGGAGAACUGAGGGGGGCUGCUCCUAGUACGAGAGGACCGGAGUGGACGCAUCACUGGUGUUCGGGUUGUCAUGCCAAUGGCACUGCCCGGUAGCUAAAUGCGGAAGAGAUAAGUGCUGAAAGCAUCUAAGCACGAAACUUGCCCCGAGAUGAGUUCUCCCUGAGACUUUAGGUCUCCUGAAGGAACGUUGAAGACGACGACGUUGAUAGGCCGGGUGUGUAAGCGCAGCGAUGCGUUGAGCUAACCGGUACUAAUGAACCGUGAGGCUUAACCUUACAACGCCGAAG
RNAcentral lists this ribosomal RNA (2098 nucleotides) under Salmonella enterica subsp. enterica. RNAcentral describes it as "partial 23S ribosomal RNA". It matches the Rfam family "Bacterial large subunit ribosomal RNA", at positions 863 to 2925 of the family's 2925-position model. Lineage: Bacteria; Pseudomonadati; Pseudomonadota; Gammaproteobacteria; Enterobacterales; Enterobacteriaceae. The record is from RNAcentral.